Molecule: transfer RNA, 72 nt
Filed under: Camelus bactrianus (Bactrian camel)
Lineage: Eukaryota; Metazoa; Chordata; Mammalia; Artiodactyla; Camelidae
Also listed under: 2 other names
Rfam family: tRNA
About the family: Transfer RNA (tRNA) molecules are approximately 80 nucleotides in length. Their secondary structure includes four short double-helical elements and three loops (D, anti-codon, and T loops).
Source: Rfam by way of RNAcentral
GGGGGCAUAGCUCAGUAGUAGAGCACAUGCUCAGCAUGCAUGAAGUCCUGGGUUCAAUCCCCAGUACCCCCA